AUUGAACGCUGGCGGCAGGCCUAACACAUGCAAGUCGAGCGGAUGAAGGGAGCUUGCUCCUGGACUCAGCGGCGGACGGGUGAGUAAUGCCUAGGAAUCUGCCUGGUAGUGGGGGAUAACGUCCGGAAACGGGCGCUAAUACCGCAUACGUCCUGAGGGAGAAAGUGGGGGAUCUUCGGACCUCACGCUAUCAGAUGAGCCUAGGUCGGAUUAGCUAGUUGGUGGGGUAAAGGCCUACCAAGGCGACGAUCCGUAACUGGUCUGAGAGGAUGAUCAGCCACACUGGAACUGAGACACGGUCCAGACUCCUACGGGAGGCAGCAGUGGGGAAUAUUGGACAAUGGGCGAAAGCCUGAUCCAGCCAUGCCGCGUGUGUGAAGAAGGUCUUCGGAUUGUAAAGCACUUUAAGUUGGGAGGAAGGGCAGUAAGUUAAUACCUUGCUGUUUUGACGUUACCAACAGAAUAAGCACCGGCUAACUUCGUG
Molecule: ribosomal RNA, 484 nt
Filed under: uncultured bacterium
Lineage: Bacteria
Description: partial 16S ribosomal RNA
Rfam family: Bacterial small subunit ribosomal RNA
Source: RNAcentral